CGAGGUAACCUGCCUGGUAGCGGGGGGUAACUAUUGGAAACGAUAGCUAAUACCGCAUAACAGUCGACAUUGCAUGAUGUUGAUUUGAAAGGGGCAAUUGCUCCACUACCAGAUGGACCUGCGUUGUAUUAGCUAGUUGGUGAGGUAACGGCUCACCAAGGCGACGAUACAUAGCCGACCUGAGAGGGUGAUCGGCCACACUGGGACUGAGACACGGCCCAG
This 222-nucleotide ribosomal RNA is filed under the name uncultured bacterium. RNAcentral describes it as "partial 16S ribosomal RNA". It matches the Rfam family "Bacterial small subunit ribosomal RNA", at positions 116 to 334 of the family's 1533-position model. The record is from RNAcentral.